This 253-nucleotide ribosomal RNA is filed under the name uncultured bacterium. RNAcentral describes it as "partial 16S ribosomal RNA". It matches the Rfam family "Bacterial small subunit ribosomal RNA", at positions 524 to 776 of the family's 1533-position model. The record is from RNAcentral.
UACGUAGGGGGCAAGCGUUGUCCGGAUUCAUUGGGCGUAAAGAGCUCGUAGGCGGCUGUUCAAGUCGAACGUGAAAACUCGGAGCUCAACUCCGAGCCUGCGUUCGAUACUGGACGGCUAGAGUCUGGUAGGGGGAUCUGGAAUUCCUGGUGUAGCGGUGAAAUGCUUAGAUAUCAUCAAGAACAUCUAUUGCGAAGGCAGCUUGCUAGGCUGAUACUGACGCUGAGGCACGAAAGCGUGGGGAUCGAACAGG